This 364-nucleotide ribosomal RNA is filed under the name uncultured Glomeromycotina. Its description in RNAcentral is "eukaryotic LSU rRNA". The record is from RNAcentral. Lineage: Eukaryota; Fungi; Glomeromycota.
UUGAAAGGGAAACGAUUGAAGUCAGUCGUACUUACGAGUGAUCAACCUUUUAUGUGCGAUCAUGUGGACAUCUGAGAGUGAAACCCCCUCAAUGUUUUCUAUUUCUGGCUUUGGGGCGUACUUGCUCGUUUGUAAGGUAACAUCCAUUUCCGGCAUUACAAAAUGGCUAGAGGAAAGGUACUUCCAUUUUCAUUGAAGUGUUAUAGCCCCCGGGAAAAGUAAUGACCGAGACUGAAGAUUGCCACCAAUACCCUUUUGGGCUAUCUGUCUGGAUUCUGGAUAUCUCUUUGGUGCCCAAAGCUUGCUUACCGUUAUUGAAGUUGGAGGCCAAUAAGUUAGAAUGGAUUAAAUUCGUUAAGGAUGU